UGGGAAUAUUGGACAAUGGGCGAAAGCCUGAUCCAGCAAUGCCGCGUGAGUGAUGAAGGCCUUCGGGUCGUAAGCUCUUUUAGGAGGGAAAAAGGGAAACUUGAUGGUACCUCCGGAAAAAGCACCGGCUAACUCCGUGCCAGCAGCCGCGGUAAUACGGAGGGUGCAAGCGUUGUUCGGAAUUAUUGGGCGUAAAGCGCGUGUAGGCGGCUGCCUAAGUCUGGUGUGAAAGCCCGGGGCUUAACUCCGGAAGUGCACUGGAUACUGGGCAGCUAGAGGACGAGAGAGGAAAGUGGAAUUCCUGGUGUAGGGGUGAAAUCCGUAGAUAUCAGGAGGAACAUCAGUGGCGAAGGCGGCUUUCUGGCUCGUAUCUGACGCUGAGACGCGAAAGCGUGGGGAGCAAAC
This 405-nucleotide ribosomal RNA is filed under the name uncultured bacterium. RNAcentral's name for it is "bacterial SSU rRNA". It matches the Rfam family "Bacterial small subunit ribosomal RNA", at positions 356 to 773 of the family's 1533-position model. The record is from RNAcentral.